CACCCGAUAGCACAUGGUGUGCACCUGUGUUCCUUAAAUGUUCUGAAAAAGUCUGUAGGCAGGAGGUCCCUGUUCAAUUCGGGGUCGGGUGA
Molecule: non-coding RNA, 92 nt
Organism: Mycena metata
Lineage: Eukaryota; Fungi; Basidiomycota; Agaricomycetes; Agaricales; Mycenaceae
Source: the annotation of a GenBank genome assembly